AGCGAACGCUGGCGGCAGGCUUAACACAUGCAAGUCGAGCGGGCAUAGCAAUAUGUCAGCGGCAGACGGGUGAGUAACGCGUGGGAACGUACCUUUUGGUUCGGAACAACACAGGGAAACUUGUGCUAAUACCGGAUAAGCCCUUACGGGGAAAGAUUUAUCGCCGAAAGAUCGGCCCGCGUCUGAUUAGCUAGUUGGUGAGGUAAUGGCUCACCAAGGCGACGAUCAGUAGCUGGUCUGAGAGGAUGAUCAGCCACAUUGGGACUGAGACACGGCCCAAACUCCUACGGGAGGCAGCAGUGGGGAAUAUUGGACAAUGGGCGCAAGCCUGAUCCAGCCAUGCCGCGUGAGUGAUGAAGGCCCUAGGGUUGUAAAGCUCUUUUGUGCGGGAAGAUAAUGACGGUACCGCAAGAAUAAGCCCCGGCUAACUUCGUGCCAGCAGCCGCGGUAAUACGAAGGGGGCUAGCGUUGCUCGGAAUCACUGGGCGUAAAGGGUGCGUAGGCGGGUCUUUAAGUCAGGGGUGAAAUCCUGGAGCUCAACUCCAGAACUGCCUUUGAUACUGAAGAUCUUGAGUUCGGGAGAGGUGAGUGGAACUGCGAGUGUAGAGGUGAAAUUCGUAGAUAUUCGCAAGAACACCAGUGGCGAAGGCGGCUCACUGGCCCGAUACUGACGCUGAGACACGAAAGCGUGGGGGAGCAAACAGGAUUAGAUACCCUGGUAGUCCACGCCGUANACGAUGAAUGCCAGCCGUUAGUGGGUUUACUCACUAGUGNNGCAGCUAACGCUUUAAGCAUUCCGCCUGGGGAGUACGGUCGCAAGAUUAAAACUCAAAGGAAUUGACGGGGGCCCGCACAAGCGGUGGAGCAUGUGGUUUAAUUCGACGCAACGCGCANAACCUUACCAGCCCUUGACAUCCCGGUCGCGGACUCCGGANACGGAGUUCUUCAGUUCGGCUGGACCGGANACAGGUGCUGCAUGGCUGUCGUCAGCUCGUGUCGUGAGAUGUUGGGUUAAGUCCCGCAACGAGCGCAACCCCCGUCCUUAGUUGCUACCAUUUAGUUGAGCACUCUAAGGAGACUGCCGGUGAUAAGCCGCGAGGAAGGUGGGGAUGACGUCAAGUCCUCAUGGCCCUUACGGGCUGGGCUACACACGUGCUACAAUGGCGGUGACAAUGGGAUGCUAAGGGGCGACCCUUCGCAAAUCUCAAAAAGCCGUCUCAGUUCGGAUUGGGCUCUGCAACUCGAGCCCAUGAAGUUGGAAUCGCUAGUAAUCGUGGAUCAGCACGCCACGGUGAAUACGUUCCCGGGCCUUGUACACACCGCCCGUCACACCAUGGGAGUUGGUUUUACCUGAAGACGGUGCGCUAACCGAAAGGGGGCAGCCGGCCACGGUAGGGUCAGCGACUGGGGUG
RNAcentral lists this ribosomal RNA (1412 nucleotides) under uncultured bacterium. Its description in RNAcentral is "bacterial SSU rRNA". It matches the Rfam family "Bacterial small subunit ribosomal RNA". The record is from RNAcentral.